CAGCAGCCACGGGAAUACGUAGGUGGCAAGCGUUGUCCGGAAUUAUUGGGCGUAAAGGGCUCGCAGGCGGUUUCUUAAGUCUGAUGUGAAAGCCCCCGGCUCAACCGGGGAGGGUCAUUGGAAACUGGGAAACUUGAGUGCAGAAGAGGAGAGUGGAAUUCCACGUGUAGCGGUGAAAUGCGUAGAGAUGUGGAGGAACACCAGUGGCGAAGGCGACUCUCUGGUCUGUAACUGACGCUGAGGAGCGAAAGCGUGGGGAGCGAACAGGAUUAGAUACCCCAGUAGUCCCUGUCUCUUAUAC
Molecule: ribosomal RNA, 301 nt
Filed under: uncultured bacterium
Lineage: Bacteria
Description: partial 16S ribosomal RNA
Rfam family: Bacterial small subunit ribosomal RNA
Source: RNAcentral